Cyprinus carpio (common carp) is the source of this 1465-nucleotide long non-coding RNA. RefSeq lists it as uncharacterized. The transcript has 2 exons. NCBI's taxonomy places the organism in Eukaryota, Metazoa, Chordata, Actinopteri, Cypriniformes, Cyprinidae. The record is from RefSeq and is a predicted model, not a curated record.
UAUAUUAAAGUUUAAUACAUUUAAAUUGAUAAUUAGAUUAAAAUAUUUCCUUUUCAAUAAUAAAUAUUUAACACAUAGAUUUAAAUGUAAUGAAAUAGAGUGUAUUUAAACGUGCGCUCGCCACUAGGGGCGUUAACGUGAUGUUACGUGAGUGACGUAAACGUGAGGGCAAAAAAAAAAAACGUAAACGUGAUGGCGCAAACAAUCACGAAGACGGAAGAAUAAUUCUGUUUAUUACAAAAGACUGAAGAUAUAACUACAGCUAUCCUUUAAUUUAUUUAUUUCUACGUUGAGGACGCUUUAUAAACCUACAGAGAUACCUGACCAACGAACGACCUUCACAACGGGACGGAGCUAACAUAAUGUUAACGGUUACUUGGAAAUUCAAACAGUAACGGUCAUCUGACAACUGUGCUGAGCCAAAGUUGGUGAAGAUGGAGAUGUUGUGACGACCAGGACAGUUCCUCCUAGCACACCAGACUCUGCUGUAUGUGGACGCCUGUCCACUAGCACUGGACAUUUACAACAUUUGGUGCCAGGGACCUCUUGCAGAGAAGAUUUUUCAAGGACACCCUCAGAAUUACAACAGAUUUUAAGGCUUGAAAUUAUUGUGGGUGGGAGUAUAAUGAACAUAAUAUGAUUGUUUUAUUUAUUUAUUCAUUUAUUUUUUUAAAUGGUACCCAUUUUUUAAUAAUACAUUUGUUUAAUGCACAAUAUAGGGCUAAGUUGCACCAGGUCAGGAAAAAACACAUAAGUUGCAUCUGUGUAUAAGACACAUUUUACCAUUAAUUUCAGAAAUAAAUUAAAUACUGAUAAAUAAAACAAACGUUAAGAAACUUAAAAACUAUAAACACUGUAAAGAUUUUAUUUUCGCUCACUUCAAAUCAUUUAAAUUUAAUGCUAUUCAAAACAGAACAAAAAUAAAAAAUAUUUAGGCCUAUGUAUAAAAUAAACAAAUUCUAGAGCCAUUAUUUACAAGCAGUAUUUCUUUUGUUAAAUAAAGAAAACAAACAAAAUGCACUUGCUAUCUCAGUUUCUGUGAACCUCAUGCUGAAAAUUUAGAAAACACAGUGGUACAGACAAUACCACUGUGUACAGACAGACUUGUCACACAGACAUGAGAACUAUAGAAACCUGUAAGUGCCUGCUUUUAAGUGUUUACGGUUUGCUUAGGCUUUUUGACAUUACAACCAUUAUAUAAAAGUUACUUUGGAAUAAUUCAGCACAUCUCAGAAGAUUAAAAAAUAUGACUUGUAGUCUGGAAAAUAUGGUAUAAAUUAUUUUGUGGACCCCUUUGCUUUGGUCCUGAACCCCAGAUUGAAAACCCUUGCAUUGUAGCAUAUUGUAUGUUUUUUUUUUAUUAUUAUUAUUGUGCAUGGAGAUAAUAUUCGGGCACAUGAACACUUGACUAUUGCAUGAAUAAAGAAUACCAUCUUUAAGAAUUUUAUGCUAAUUGCAGUUGAAA